Molecule: ribosomal RNA, 253 nt
Filed under: uncultured bacterium
Lineage: Bacteria
Description: partial 16S ribosomal RNA
Rfam family: Bacterial small subunit ribosomal RNA
Source: RNAcentral
UACAGAGGCCUCAAGCGUUAGGCGGAAUCACUGGGCUUAAAGCGUGUGUAGGCGGGUCGUUAAGUACCUUGUGAAAUCCCACGGCUUAACUGUGGAACGGCUUGGUAUACUGGCGAUCUUGAGCCACUUAGGGGCUACCGGAACAGAUGGUGGAGCGGUGAAAUGCGUAGAUAUCAUCUGGAACGCCAAUGGUGAAAACAGGUAGCUGGGAGUGUGCUGACGCUAAGACACGAAAGCCAGGGGAGCGAACGGG